CCUACGGGUGGCUGCAGUGGGGAAUUUUCCGCAAUGGGCGAAAGCCUGACGGAGCAACGCCGCGUGGGUGACGAAGUCUUUCGGGACGUAAAACCCUUUCAGCAGGGACGAAGCGAGUGACGGUACCUGCAGAAGAAGCAUCGGCUAACUACGUGCCAGCCGCCGCGGUAAUACGUAGGAUUCGAUCGUUGUCCGGAAUUAUUGGGCGUAAAGAGAACGUAGGCGGCUUUGUAAGUUCGGUCUUAAAGACCGGGGCUUAACCCCGGGAAUGGAUUGAAGACUGCAAGGCUAGAGGAUGUCAGAGGAUGGUGGAAUUCCAAGUGUAGCGGUGAAAUGCGUAGAUAUUUGGAGGAACACCUGUGGCGAAAGCGGCCAUCUGGGGCAUUCCUGACGCUGAGGUUCGAAAGCUCGGGGAGCAAACAGGAUUAGAUACCCGAGUAGUC
Molecule: ribosomal RNA, 443 nt
Filed under: uncultured bacterium
Lineage: Bacteria
Description: partial 16S ribosomal RNA
Rfam family: Bacterial small subunit ribosomal RNA
Source: RNAcentral